This 67-nucleotide transfer RNA is filed under the name Marmota monax (woodchuck). RNAcentral describes it as "tRNA.Ala". Lineage: Eukaryota; Metazoa; Chordata; Mammalia; Rodentia; Sciuridae. The record is from RNAcentral.
GGUUGUAGCUCAGCGGUAGAGCACUUGCCUAGCAUGUGUGAGGCACUGGAUUCGAUCCUCAGCACCA